Molecule: ribosomal RNA, 447 nt
Filed under: uncultured bacterium
Lineage: Bacteria
Description: partial 16S ribosomal RNA
Rfam family: Bacterial small subunit ribosomal RNA
Source: RNAcentral
CCAGACUCCUACGGGAGGCAGCAGUGGGGAAUAUUGCACAAUGGGGGAAACCCUGAUGCAGCGACGCCGCGUGAGUGAAGAAGUAUUUCGGUAUGUAAAGCUCUAUCAGCAGGGAAGAAAAUGACAGUACCUGACCAAGAAGCCCCGGCUAACUACGUGCCAGCAGCCGCGGUAAUACGUAGGGGGCGAGCGUUAUCCGGAUUCACUGGGCGUAAAGGGAGCGCAGGCGGCACGGCAAGUCCGGUGUGAAAGCCCGGGGCCCAACCAUGGGACUGCUUUUGAAACUGUCAAACUAGAGUACGGGAGAGGUAAGAGGAAUUCCUAGUGUAGCGGUGAAAUGCGUAGAUAUUAGGAGGAACACCAGUGGCGAAGGCGUCUUACUGGACCGAAACUGACGUUGAGGCUCGAAAGCGUGGGGAGCAAACAGGAUUAGAUACCCCCGUACAC